UACAGAGGGUGCGAGCGUUAAUCGGAAUUACUGGGCGUAAAGCGUGCGUAGACGGUUAUUUAAGUCGGGUGUGAAAGCCCCGGGCUCAACCUGGGAAUUGCAUUCGAAACUGCGAGGCUAGGGUACGGAAGAGGGAAGCGGAAUUUCUGGUGUAGCGGUGAAAUGCGUAGAUAUCAGAAGGAACAUCAGUGGCGAAAGCGGCUUCCUGGUCCAGUACCGACGUUCAGGCACGAAAGCGUGGGGAGCAAACAGG
Molecule: ribosomal RNA, 253 nt
Filed under: uncultured bacterium
Lineage: Bacteria
Description: partial 16S ribosomal RNA
Rfam family: Bacterial small subunit ribosomal RNA
Source: RNAcentral